Oncorhynchus masou masou (cherry salmon) is the source of this 514-nucleotide long non-coding RNA. RefSeq lists it as uncharacterized. Lineage: Eukaryota; Metazoa; Chordata; Actinopteri; Salmoniformes; Salmonidae. The transcript is spliced from 3 exons. The record is from RefSeq and is a predicted model, not a curated record.
CAGACAUACCUCUUACAGAAACAACUGUGAUAGGUACAGCUAUUACGGAGUCAGGCGUACCUGUGGUCGCCACAUGUCUUUCAUCAGCCCUACCCCUCACCUCAUUACCGAAUGGUGAAGAAGGCAGGGAUCAGGAAAAAGGCAGGGAGGACAAGAAUCCAAGAAUUGAAGAGGAGGGGGAGGAGGAGGAGAAGGGGAGAGUGAGGGAUGAGCAGAUGAGAAAGGACAGAGAGAUGGAGGCGAGCAGAGGGAGGAGAGGAGUGACGGGAAGGAGACAUGCAGCAACUGUAGAGGCCACUGCGUACAGAAUGGCAGGUCUGGGGCGCCCCCUACCUGGCUGGAAGAAGCGAGGUACAAAUUGGGGAGCUGAACAGGAAGGUGUUCUCAGGACCAUACUAAAGGAACUACACAGUGAUAAGGACAGACUGAUGGACACAGAGAAGGCAGAGGAAGAGGAAGAUGAGGAGGAAGAUGAAGAAGACGAUGAAGAGGAAGAUGAUUCUGAAGAGGAGGA